RNAcentral lists this transfer RNA (72 nucleotides) under Camelus bactrianus (Bactrian camel). It matches the Rfam family "tRNA". From Rfam's summary of the family: Transfer RNA (tRNA) molecules are approximately 80 nucleotides in length. Their secondary structure includes four short double-helical elements and three loops (D, anti-codon, and T loops). RNAcentral also lists the same sequence under 2 other names. The record is from Rfam by way of RNAcentral. Lineage: Eukaryota; Metazoa; Chordata; Mammalia; Artiodactyla; Camelidae.
GAGGGUAUAGCUCAGUGGUAGAGUGUGUGCUUAGCAUGCAUGAGGUCCUGGGUUCAAUUCCCCGCACCUCCA